Long non-coding RNA from Schistocerca serialis cubense, 357 nucleotides. RefSeq lists it as uncharacterized. The transcript has 3 exons. The record is from RefSeq and is a predicted model, not a curated record. Lineage: Eukaryota; Metazoa; Arthropoda; Insecta; Orthoptera; Acrididae.
CGGCGGCCGUCGCGGCGGCGGCGCCGGGGGCCGGCGUCGCGGGCAGCCGCGACAGCAUCGACGACAAGAACCCAGACGUCGUGCCGCACAACAGCGACGCCGACGUGCAGGACGAUGACGACGACGACACCGGCGGUGUGGGUGGCGGCCGGCACGGGCGGCAUCCGAGUGGCGGCGGAGGCGGCGGGGGCGGUCCGGGCAGCCACGUGCGCUACGUCACCAGGAACGGAGACGAAGUGACGUACAUCGAGCUUCCGGCGCCGCGGGCGCCACAGGCUGUGGCAGUGACGGCGCCGCCGACGCCGGCGCCGCGGCCGACGGUGCGCUUCCAGGACGAGGUGGUGGCGCUGGAGCCGG